CCUACGGGUGGCAGCAGUGAGGAAUAUUGGUCAAUGGACGAGAGUCUGAACCAGCCAAGUAGCGUGAAGGAUGACUGCCCUAUGGGUUGUAAACUUCUUUUAUAUGGGAAUAAAAUGUUCCACGUGUGGGCUUUUGUAUGUACCAUAUGAAUAAGGAUCGGCUAACUCCGUGCCAGCAGCCGCGGUAAUACGGAGGAUCCGAGCGUUAUCCGGAUUUAUUGGGUUUAAAGGGAGCGUAGGUGGAUUGUUAAGUCAGUUGUGAAAGUUUGCGGCUCAACCGUAAAAUUGCAGUUGAAACUGGCAGUCUUGAGUACAGUAGAGGUGGGCGGAAUUCGUGGUGUAGCGGUGAAAUGCUUAGAUAGCACGAAGAACUCCGAUUGCGAAGGCAGCUCACUGGACUGCAACUGACACUGAGGCUCGAAAGUGUGGGUAUCAAACAGGAUGAGAUACCCUUGUAGUC
This 460-nucleotide ribosomal RNA is filed under the name uncultured bacterium. Its description in RNAcentral is "partial 16S ribosomal RNA". It matches the Rfam family "Bacterial small subunit ribosomal RNA", at positions 338 to 795 of the family's 1533-position model. The record is from RNAcentral.